UACUGAGUGGCAAACGGGUGAGUAUAAUGUGGGAAUCUGCCUUUUGGUCUGGAAUAACACGAGGAAACUUGUGCUAAUACCGGAUAAGCCUUCACAGGGAAAGUUUUAAUGCCAAAAGAUGAGCCCGCACUUGAUUAGCUAGUUGGUAAGGUAAUAGCUUACCAAGGCAACGAUCAAUAGCUGUUCUUAGAGGAAGACCAGCCACAUUGGGACUGAGACACGGCCCAAACUCCUACGGGAGGCAGCAGUGGGGAAUCUUGCACAAUGGGGGAAACCCUGAUGCAGCGAUGCCGCGUGAGUGAAGAAGGCCUUUGGGUUGUAAAACUCUUUCGUCGGGGAAGAAAAUGACUGUACCCGAAUAAGAAGGUCCGGCUAACUUCGUGCCAGCAGCCGCGGUAAUACGAAGGGACCUAGCGUAGUUCGGAAUUACUGGGCUUAAAGAGUUCGUAGGUGGUUGAAAAAGUUGGUGGUGAAAUCCCAGAGCUUAACUCUGGAACUGCCAUCAAAACUUUUCAGCUAGAGUAUGAUA
Molecule: ribosomal RNA, 529 nt
Filed under: uncultured Pelagibacterales bacterium
Lineage: Bacteria; Pseudomonadati; Pseudomonadota; Alphaproteobacteria; Candidatus Pelagibacterales
Description: bacterial SSU rRNA
Rfam family: Bacterial small subunit ribosomal RNA
Source: RNAcentral